RNAcentral lists this long non-coding RNA (508 nucleotides) under Homo sapiens (human). Its description in RNAcentral is "non-protein coding LINC01273:17". Lineage: Eukaryota; Metazoa; Chordata; Mammalia; Primates; Hominidae. The record is from RNAcentral.
GGAGUGACGCAGGCCCUGGGCUACAGCAACCUUACCAGCCCCUCCAGCUUAGAGGUGGCAGUGGCUCUCUGCGGCUGCGAUUUCUUUCUCGGAGCGUCCUCCCCAUCCCGUUCGGCCUCUGCCUCCACCGUCGUCUCUGUAACCCGUUCCCUGUGGGAGAGUCUCUGUUGCGGUGUUCAGGGGUUUCGGUUUUCUGGCUGAACAGUGAUUAACGCGAGGGAAGGCGCUGACGGCAAGGUGGCAGGAAGAACAUUCCAACACAGACCACAACACCUAUGGACCUGGAAAACAUUGUGCUCAGUGAAAGAAGCCAGACACAGAAGGACAAUGUUGUAUGAGGUCUUAUUCUGUUGCCCAGGCUGGACUGCAGUGGUGCAAUCCUAGCUCACUGCAGCUUCGACCUCCCGUGCUCAAGUGAUUUUCCCACCUCAGCCUCCCGAGUAGCUGGGACUACAGGUGCGUGCCACCACGCCUGGCUGAUUUUUCUUGUAUUUUUUUGUAGAGAUGG